GCCCGGCUAACUCAAUCGGUAGAGCGUGAGACUCUUAAGGGCUCUCCCGAAAACACCUCAAGGUUGUGGGUUCGACCCCCACGUCGGGCU
Molecule: transfer RNA, 90 nt
Filed under: Madurella mycetomatis
Lineage: Eukaryota; Fungi; Ascomycota; Sordariomycetes; Sordariales
Rfam family: tRNA
About the family: Transfer RNA (tRNA) molecules are approximately 80 nucleotides in length.
Source: Rfam by way of RNAcentral